Molecule: ribosomal RNA, 376 nt
Filed under: uncultured bacterium
Lineage: Bacteria
Description: bacterial SSU rRNA
Rfam family: Bacterial small subunit ribosomal RNA
Source: RNAcentral
UACGUAGGGAGCGAGCGUUGUCCGGAAUGACUGGGCGUAAAGGGCGCGUAGGUGGCCUAUUAAGUUAGGAGUGAAAGUCCCGCUUUCAAGGUGGGAAUUGCUUUUAAUACUGGUAGGCUUGAGUGUGGGAGAGGAUAGCGGAAUUCCCGGUGUAGCGGUGAAAUGCGUAGAGAUCGGGAGGAACACCAGUGGCGAAGGCGGCUAUCUGGACCAAGACUGACACUGAAGCGCGAAAGCGUGGGGAGCAAACAGGAUUAGAUACCCUGGUAGUCCACGCUGUAAACGAUGGAUGCUAGGUGUGGGAGGUAUCGACCCCUUCCGUGCCGCAGUUAACACAAUAAGCAUCCCGCCUGGGGAGUACGGCCGCAAGGUUGAA